AUAUUGGUCAAUGGGCGCAAGCCUGAACCAGCCAUCCCGCGUGCAGGAAGACGGCCCUAUGGGUUGUAAACUGCUUUUCCAGGGAGAGAAACUUGCGCACGUGUUGCGCAAUUGACGGUACCCUGGGAAUAAGCAUCGGCUAACUCCGUGCCAGCAGCCGCGGUAAUACGGAGGAUGCGAGCGUUAUCCGGAUUCAUUGGGUUUAAAGGGUGCGUAGGCGGACUAUUAAGUCAGUGGUGAAAUCCUGCAGCUUAACUGCAGAACUGCCAUUGAUACUGAUAGCCUUGAGUUUGGUUAAGGUAGGCGGAAUGUGUAAUGUAGCGGUGAAAUGCUUAGAUAUUACACAGAACACCAAUUGCGUAGGCAGCUUACUGAGCCGACACUGACGCUGAGGCACGAAAGCGUGGGGAUCGAACAGG
Molecule: ribosomal RNA, 419 nt
Filed under: uncultured bacterium
Lineage: Bacteria
Description: bacterial SSU rRNA
Rfam family: Bacterial small subunit ribosomal RNA
Source: RNAcentral